CUGGGCGUGAGGGGGUGUGUUAAGAGUCCCACAUCGGACAAUAUAUGGUUUGAACAUGUGUUUAUAAAUGGAGGCAGUCCUCACUCUACCAACUGGUUUUGUAGGGUUGAGUUAGGCCCAAUCACACAUUCUUAACGAAAUCCCGCUAGGAAAGGUAUGAACAAUGGCAUGCAGAACAACCUCUCUGCAAGAAGCAAUCAAGUCGAAAACGAGCGGCCGACAACCCUUAGGACUGCAAGAUCGUGGCUUAUCUUGGAAAUAACUAGGAGAAGAAGCCCUAUUGGAUCUUCAAUUUUGAUAUCUUCUAGAAUUGUCUUUUGGGGUUAAUUGAUGAGUCAUCAAAUUUUGUUUUAGCUUGAAAAGCCAUGUUAUUUCCUACUGCAGCUCAAGAAGUCUAUGCAUUUGAUUUUACAAUUCAAAUGAAAGUUAAGAAGGUGCAAAUGGGAUGUUCGUUUGAGUCUUAAAACUGUUUGUGUCAUGCAUUUCUGUCAUGAACUGCUAUUAUUGGAUGAUAUCAAUCUGGUAUGGUUCAUUAAGACUGUGCAGAUAGUUACCAUGCAAAUUAGGGCUUUCUUUAUUACUCAAGAUACAUGUCACGGACAUUGCAACGGAGUAUUUUGAUGCUGGAAGUGUAAGAGAUUUGCAUUGCAGGCUGUUGUAGGCUUGUAGCAGUAGUCCCGCUUGGAGUUUUUCAACUCGGUUCAUUAAAGGUAUUUGCAUGGAAUGAAAAACAUCAGGGUUUGCGUCAUGAAAUCGGUUUCCUGCAGAUAUAUAAUCAAAUUCCGAAGGAAAAAUGCAGAUUUGUAGUUGUGUUUUUUAUAUGAUUCAAACAAACAUAUAAGCAAUAGUAAAAAGUGUAUGCAUUUUAUUAUGGCAAUUGCAAGGUGAACAAAACUAGUGUUAUUCGCCCCUUAUAGAUGCAUACAAAUUUAGAUUAAGAUUGGGAUUUUAAGGCCAUACUUUAUUGUUUUAUUAUCGGAACUGAAAUUCUUCUCUACAGUACAUUCAAAA
Long non-coding RNA from Lathyrus oleraceus (garden pea), 1011 nucleotides. RefSeq lists it as uncharacterized. The record is from RefSeq and is a predicted model, not a curated record. The transcript has 2 exons. Lineage: Eukaryota; Viridiplantae; Streptophyta; Magnoliopsida; Fabales; Fabaceae.